GCCAGGUGUGGUGGCCCAAGCCUGUAAUCCCAGUGACUCGGGAGGCUGAGGCAGGAGGAUUGUGAGUUUAAACCCAGCCUCAGUAACCUAGUGAGGCCCUAAGCAAAUCAAUGAGACCCUGUCCCUA
Molecule: small RNA, 127 nt
Filed under: Marmota monax (woodchuck)
Lineage: Eukaryota; Metazoa; Chordata; Mammalia; Rodentia; Sciuridae
Source: RNAcentral